This 69-nucleotide transfer RNA is filed under the name Murexia melanurus (Black-tailed dasyure). RNAcentral's name for it is "Murexechinus melanurus (Black-tailed dasyure) tRNA-Tyr". It matches the Rfam family "tRNA". Rfam says of the family: Transfer RNA (tRNA) molecules are approximately 80 nucleotides in length. The record is from RNAcentral. Lineage: Eukaryota; Metazoa; Chordata; Mammalia; Dasyuromorphia; Dasyuridae.
GGUAGAAUGGCUGAGAUUAAGCGUUGAACUGUAAAUUCAAAGACAGAGAUUGAGUAUCUCUUUUUACCA